UAAAAGAGCGUCCGAUUCUUACCUGC
RNAcentral lists this non-coding RNA (26 nucleotides) under Mus musculus (house mouse). Lineage: Eukaryota; Metazoa; Chordata; Mammalia; Rodentia; Muridae. The record is from RNAcentral.